UUCCGGUUGAUCCUGCCGGACCCCACUGCUAUCGGGAUAGGACUAAGACAUGCUAGUCGUCUCAGCCAUGAAGAGCACACAGCUCAGUAACACGUGGCUAACCUGCCCUUGAGACGGGAACAACCCCGGGAAACUGGGGCUAAUUCCCGAUAGGCGAAGAACCCUGGAAUGGGUCUUCACCCAAAAGGCCUAGUGCUCAAGGAUGGGGCCGCGGCCGAUCAGGUUGUUGGUGAGGUAACGGCUCACCAAGCCUUUGACCGGUGCGGGCCGUGGGAGCGGGAGCCCGGAGAUGGGCACUGAGACAAGGGCCCAGGCCCUACGGGGCGCAGCAGUCGCGCAAACUUUGCAAUACACGAAAGUGUGACAGGGCUAUCCCGAGUGCCGUCCGCUGAGGAUGGCUUUUACCCAGUCUAGAUAGCUGGGAGAAUAAGGAGAGGGCAAGUUCUGGUGUCAGCCGCCGCGGUAAUACCAGCUCUCCGAGUGGUGUGGAUGUUUAUUGGGCCUAAAGCAUCCGUAGCUGGCCAGGCAAGUCCCCUGUUAAACCCAACGAAUUAAUCGUUGGUUUGCGGGGGAUACUGCCCGGCUAGGGGACGAGAGAGGCCGACGGUAUUUUCGGGGUAGGGGUGAAAUCCUAUAAUCCCGGGAAGACCACCAGUGGCGAAGGCUGUCGGCUAGAACGCGCCCGACGGUGAGGGAUGAAAGCUGGGGGAGCGAACCGGAUUAGAUACCCGGGUAGUCCCAGCUGUAAACGAUGCAGGCUAGGUGUUUGGGCGGCCACGUGCCGCUCUAGUGCCGCAGGGAAGCUGUUAAGCCUGCCGCCUGGGGAGUACGGUCGCAAGAUUGAAACUUAAAGGAAUUGGCGGGGGAGCACCACAAGGGGUGAAGCUUGCGGUUUAAUUGGAUUCAACGCCGGA
RNAcentral lists this ribosomal RNA (914 nucleotides) under uncultured archaeon. Its description in RNAcentral is "bacterial SSU rRNA". It matches the Rfam family "Archaeal small subunit ribosomal RNA", at positions 1 to 922 of the family's 1478-position model. The record is from RNAcentral.